AGCGAACGCUGGCGGCAGGCCUAACACAUGCAAGUCGAACGGAUCCUUCGGGAUUAGUGGCAGACGGGUGAGUAACACGUGGGAACGUGCCUUUUGGUUCGGAACAACUCAGGGAAACUUGAGCUAAUACCGGAUGUGCCCUUCGGGGAAGGAUUUAUCGCCAUUAGAGCGGCCCGCGUCUGAUUAGCUAGUUGGUGAGGUAAAGGCUCACCAAGGCUUCGAUCAGUAGCCGGUCUGAGAGGAUGAUCAGCCACACUGGGACUGAGACACGGCCCAGACUCCUACGGGAGGC
RNAcentral lists this ribosomal RNA (292 nucleotides) under uncultured bacterium. RNAcentral describes it as "partial 16S ribosomal RNA". It matches the Rfam family "Bacterial small subunit ribosomal RNA", at positions 29 to 349 of the family's 1533-position model. The record is from RNAcentral.